Molecule: small nuclear RNA, 105 nt
Organism: Sciurus carolinensis (gray squirrel)
Lineage: Eukaryota; Metazoa; Chordata; Mammalia; Rodentia; Sciuridae
Source: RefSeq, a predicted model, not a curated record
GUGCUCACUUUGGCAGCACAUAAACUAAAACUGGAGUGAUACAGAAAAGAAUAUUAUGGUGUCUGUGUAAGGAUGACACAAAUUCAUGAAGCAUUUCAUCUACUU